RNAcentral lists this ribosomal RNA (1225 nucleotides) under metagenome. RNAcentral describes it as "bacterial LSU rRNA". It matches the Rfam family "Bacterial large subunit ribosomal RNA", at positions 1717 to 2925 of the family's 2925-position model. The record is from RNAcentral.
AAAAAUUGACACCGUAACUUCGGGAGAAGGUGUGCCGCUGGCGGUUAGUGACUUCGCGUCACGAAGCUGUCGGUGGUCGCAGUGAAAUGGCGGUUGUGACUGUUUACUAAAAACACAGGACUCUGCGAAGUCGUGAGACGACGUAUAGGGUCUGAUGCCUGCCCGGUGCUGGAAGGUUAAGGGGAUAUGUCAGCGCAAGCGAAGCAUUGAACCGAAGCCCCAGUAAACGGCGGCCGUAACUAUAACGGUCCUAAGGUAGCGAAAUUCCUUGUCGGGUAAGUUCCGACCUGCACGAGGGCAUAACAACAUCCGCACUGUCUCGACCAGGGACUCAGCGAAAUUACAUUGGGGGUGAAGAUGCCCUCUACCCGCGGAAAGACGGAAAGACCCCAUGAACCUUUACUGCAACUUGGCAGUGAUUUUCGGGUUGUUCUGCGUAGGAUAGGUGGGAGGCUUUGAAGCCGGGCUUCCGGGUUCGGCAGAGCCAACGUUGAAAUACCACCCUGAAUAAUCUGGAAAUCUAACCUGCGCCCAUGAUCUGGGCGAGGGACACUGCCUGGUGGGCAGUUUGACUGGGGCGGUCGCCUCCUAAAUUGUAACGGAGGCGUGCGACGGUUCCCUCAGGCUGAUUGGAAACCAGCCGUAGAGUGCAAACGCAUAAGGGAGCUUUACUGCGAGACUGACAAGUCGAACAGUUGCGAAAGCAGGUGUUAGUGAUCCGGUGGUACCACAUGGAAGGGCCAUCGCUCAUCGGAUAAAAGGUACUCUGGGGAUAACAGGCUGAUCGCGCCUGAGAGUUCACAUCGGCGGCGCGGUUUGGCACCUCGAUGUCGGCUCAUCGCAUCCUGGGGCUGGAGCAGGUCCCAAGGGUUUGGCUGUUCGCCAAUUAAAGCGGUACGCGAGCUGGGUUUAAAACGUCGUGAGACAGUUUGGUCCCUAUCUUCCGUGGGCGCAGGACACUUGAGAGGAGCUAUCCAUAGCACGAGAGGACCUGGAUGGACGAACCUCUGGUGCUCCGGUUGUCACGCCAGUGGCAUAGCCGGGUAGCCAUGUUCGGAACAGAUAACCGCUGAAGGCAUAUAAGCGGGAAGCUGGCCUCAAGACUAGGUGUCCCUGACGCAAGUCACUAAAGGCCCCUCGAAGACUACGAGGUUGAUAGGCUCGGUGUGGAAGCGCUGCGAGGCGUGGAGCUAACGAGUACUAAUAGGCCGUGCGACUCGACCCC